This 196-nucleotide non-coding RNA is filed under the name Ceratosolen fusciceps. Lineage: Eukaryota; Metazoa; Arthropoda; Insecta; Hymenoptera; Agaonidae. The record is from RNAcentral.
AUCAAUAGAUUGAGUCGGUUGAUUAACAAUUUUACUUCUAUUUAAUUGUCAUAAAACGAUUUAAGAAGUAAAUAACCCCAAUAACCUUCGGAAGUAACAUAUACGUUUUUCUUAGUCAUUUGAGUUUUACGUUGCUAAUGCAUUAAAAAAUUUGGAAAUGAUAGAAAGGUUUUAAUCAUUCCGGCCAUAUGUUUUU